This 127-nucleotide small RNA is filed under the name Marmota monax (woodchuck). The record is from RNAcentral. Lineage: Eukaryota; Metazoa; Chordata; Mammalia; Rodentia; Sciuridae.
GCAGGGUGUGGUGGUGCAUGCCUGUAAUCCUAGUGGCUCAGGAGGCUGAGGCAGGAGGAUCACAAGUGGGAGGCCAGCCUCAGCAGCUGAGUGAGGCCCUAAGCAACUCAGCAAGACCCUGUCUCUA